RNAcentral lists this ribosomal RNA (301 nucleotides) under uncultured bacterium. RNAcentral's name for it is "partial 16S ribosomal RNA". It matches the Rfam family "Bacterial small subunit ribosomal RNA", at positions 509 to 808 of the family's 1533-position model. The record is from RNAcentral.
CAGUGCCACGGUAAAACAGAGGGUGCAAGCGUUAAUCGGAAUUACUGGGCGUAAAGCGCGCGUAGGUGGUUUGUUAAGUUGGAUGUGAAAUCCCCGGGCUCAACCUGGGAACUGCAUCCAAAACUGGCAAGCUAGAGUAUGGUAGAGGGUGGUGGAAUUUCCUGUGUAGCGGUGAAAUGCGUAGAUAUAGGAAGGAACACCAGUGGCGAAGGCGACCACCUGGACUGAUACUGACACUGAGGUGCGAAAGCGUGGGGAGCAAACAGGAUUAGAUACCCCUGUAGUCCCUGUCUCUUAUACA